GCCGGGUCGCGGCCCGGAUCGGGCAGGGCCCGGCGAUCUGGGUGCCGAUGGCGAUCUGCGUGCCCGUGCAGCUGGUCAUCCCGCUGGCUCAGCG
RNAcentral lists this transfer RNA (94 nucleotides) under Paractinoplanes toevensis. RNAcentral's name for it is "Actinoplanes toevensis tRNA-Gln". The record is from RNAcentral. Lineage: Bacteria; Bacillati; Actinomycetota; Actinomycetes; Micromonosporales; Micromonosporaceae.